This 549-nucleotide ribosomal RNA is filed under the name uncultured bacterium. Its description in RNAcentral is "bacterial SSU rRNA". It matches the Rfam family "Bacterial small subunit ribosomal RNA", at positions 777 to 1320 of the family's 1533-position model. The record is from RNAcentral.
AAUAGAUACCCCCGGUAGUCCACGCCGUAAACGAUGAGUGCUAAGUGUUAGGGGGGUUUCCGCCCCUUAGUGCUGCAGCUAACGCAUUAAGCACUCCGCCUGGGGAGUACGGUCGCAAGACUGAAACUCAAAGGAAUUGACGGGGGGCCCGCACAAGCGGUGGAGCAUGUGGUUUAAUUCGAAGCAACGCGAAGAACCUUACCAGGUCUUGACAUCCCAUUGGCCACUAUGGAGACAUAGUUUUCCCUUCGGGGACAACGGUGACAGGUGGUGCAUGGUUGUCGUCAGCUCGUGUCGUGAGAUGUUGGGUUAAGUCCCGCAACGAGCGCAACCCUUGUUCUUAGUUGCCAUCAUUUAGUUGGGCACUCUAAGGAGACUGCCGGUGACAAACCGGAGGAAGGUGGGGAUGACGUCAAAUCAUCAUGCCCCUUAUGACCUGGGCUACACACGUGCUACAAUGGACGGUACAAACGGUUGCCAACCCGGCGAGGGGGAGCUAAUCCGAUAAAACCGUUCUCAGUUCGGAUUGUAGGCUGCAACUCGCCUACA